This 253-nucleotide ribosomal RNA is filed under the name uncultured bacterium. Its description in RNAcentral is "partial 16S ribosomal RNA". It matches the Rfam family "Bacterial small subunit ribosomal RNA", at positions 524 to 776 of the family's 1533-position model. The record is from RNAcentral.
UACGAAGGGGGCUAGCGUUGCUCGGAAUCACUGGGCGUAAAGCGCACGUAGGCGGACUCUUAAGUCGGUGGUGAAAUCCUGGAGCUCAACUCCAGAACUGCCUUCGAUACUGAGAGUCUUGAAUCCGGGAGAGGUGAGUGGAACUGCGAGUGUAGAGGUGAAAUUCGUAGAUAUUCGCAAGAACACCAGUGGCGAAGGCGGCUCACUGGCCCGGUACUGACGCUGAGGUGCGAAAGCGUGGGGAGCAAACGGG